Long non-coding RNA from Nomascus leucogenys (northern white-cheeked gibbon), 702 nucleotides. RefSeq lists it as uncharacterized. The record is from RefSeq and is a predicted model, not a curated record. NCBI's taxonomy places the organism in Eukaryota, Metazoa, Chordata, Mammalia, Primates, Hylobatidae. The transcript has a single exon.
UAUGUUUCUUGUUUUUCUUCAGCUGCUCCUGGUGUCCCUGAGUCUAGAUUUCUUCCAUUUACCCUCUAGGAAAUUAAGCUUUGCAGUUUUCUAGGGCAGGUGAGAGCCAGUUCCGUGUUAGUAUGUAGUGAAUAAGGGGAUUGUUUUGAUUGCUUUUCAGAUGGUAUGCAAUUCCUGUUGGUUAGCCUCAUCUGAAAACAUCACUCCUGGAUACAUAGAACAUCACUGCGCAUGUGCAUCUCCCCACCCCUUGAUGCCUAGUAUCUAACGUUCCUCCAGUUUCUGGUGCUCUGAUGCAUUGCUUUUGGGCUUGUCUUACUACAGCCGCUUUCUUUGGUCCUAAGUCAUUUACCACUUGUCAUAUGUCCUUUCUAGUUUCCAGGGAUAUUGUAUUUUAUAUUUAUGGUUUUAUGCCAUUUAUCUCAGUUGUCAUUUGGCAUUUCAAGAAGGAGAGGUGGUAGUGUUUAAGUGGAAUUAACUACUUGUGUUUCUGAUGUGGUCUUUUUAUAUUUCUGACAGGGUCUUGUUUUACCAAGUACUAGUCUUCAGUCUAUCCUGUUUACUUGAUUUUUUCCCACUCAACUCACAAACAUUUUUGAAUCAUCUCAUGAAUUCUGCUUUCUAUUUACAUUUUUGCCCUUUUGUCUUUUCCUCUUCGCUGGCAAACUUCCUGAAAACAUAAAACUAGUUGAUUCACUUCUU